CCUGAACUCGAGUAGGGCCCAAGCAAGCCAGGAAGGAGGCGGCAGCCAGAGUGUUCUCGGCAGCAGAAGACCCCUUGCUGCCCUGCUUAACCCAGACCAGCAUUUGCCAGACAUUAGGUACUUCUGAUGAAGAUGUUUUUGAAAUGGACUAUCAUCCAGGGAAUCUGUCAAGUUUCAAAAGUUUCAAGAUUCCUGUGCAAAGCUUCAAGUUCUCAAGGUUCCUGUGCAGAGUAUAUUACAUCUUAUUUUUGAGGAUUGACUUUCAGCAAACUGGCACCAUCAGCAUCAUAUCAGUUAUUUUACAUGAUCAGCAUUCCAACCACUGUUGUCAAGAAUUACAUUUCAUAGUCUGUGGAGUUUGUAUCAGCCCACAUUGUUGUAAUUAUCUGCUGUUGUUACAUGGGUGCCUGUAGCUUGUGAUUAUAUGUGGAGUAUUGCUUUACCCUGUAUUGUGUCUCUGCAUUUUUUUGCCUUGCCCAUUAGAUCUACAGUCAUACCCCUGAGUUAGUUGACUUGCAAAACAUGCAUGAUCUUAGUGAAAUGUAUUCUUCUAGGACUUGGUUUGCAUCUGCAAGUUUUUUGAGGUUUUUUGGUUGACCUACAUUCAAAGUUCAGCAUAAUGACAAAUCUGUGCAAAAAAAAAGUUCCUCAUUUUAACCUCUUGGCACCUAGCAAUGACUGCCCCUUGUGGGAAAAUGUAGUUUUUAGCAGAUACAUCAAGUUGUGUUGAGCCUA
This is a long non-coding RNA of Hemicordylus capensis (graceful crag lizard), 735 nucleotides long. RefSeq lists it as uncharacterized. Lineage: Eukaryota; Metazoa; Chordata; Lepidosauria; Squamata; Cordylidae. The record is from RefSeq and is a predicted model, not a curated record. The transcript is spliced from 2 exons.